RNAcentral lists this transfer RNA (77 nucleotides) under Pseudomonadales bacterium. RNAcentral's name for it is "tRNA-Arg". It matches the Rfam family "tRNA". Rfam says of the family: Transfer RNA (tRNA) molecules are approximately 80 nucleotides in length. Their secondary structure includes four short double-helical elements and three loops (D, anti-codon, and T loops). Lineage: Bacteria; Pseudomonadati; Pseudomonadota; Gammaproteobacteria; Pseudomonadales. The record is from RNAcentral.
GCGCCCAUAGCUCAAUUGGAUAGAGCACCAGGCUUCGAACCUGGGGGUUCGGGGUUCGAGUCCCUGUGGGCGCGCCA